GAUGAAGAACGCAGCGAAAUGCGAUAAGUAGUGUGAAUUGCAGAAUUCAGUGAAUCAUCGAAUCUUUGAACGCACAUUGCGCUCGCCAGUAUUCUGGCGAGCAUGCCUGUUCGAGCGUCAUUUCAACCAUCAAGCUCUGCUUGCGUUGGGGAUCCGCGGCUGCCCGCGGUCCCUCAAAAACAGUGGCGGGCUCGCUAGUCACACCGAGCGUAGUAACUCUACAUCGUUCUGGUCGUGCGGCGGGUUCUUGCCGUAAAACCCCCCAAUUUCUAAGGUUGACCUCGGAUCAGGUAGGAAUACCCGCUGAACUUAAGCAUAUCAAUAAGCGGAGGA
Molecule: unclassified non-coding RNA, 333 nt
Filed under: soil metagenome
Description: partial contains 5.8S ribosomal RNA, internal transcribed spacer 2, and large subunit ribosomal RNA
Rfam family: 5.8S ribosomal RNA (bases 1-120)
Source: RNAcentral